UAAAUUUCUGCCUUUCAAGCAAAAAAUCACCAAUAACACCUGCUGCUGCAUUGACUGGUCCAAUACGGACUUACCAAUGACUCCCAAUAGUGAGUCAUCAAACUCAAUUUGCUUCAGCAUGCAAAAAAGCCCCCUGUAUUUUAGCACCUUCUACUCACAGCGGUGAGAGAUGACACCUAAAAGAACUCCGGCCCUGGUAUGGUGUGCACUAACACCAGCAAAGCUGUCUGAUUUACAUCAAGAAACAGAUGUCCCUCAAGUGAUCUUGAGAUUUUCAGCACUUGGUAUAUUUGCCCUUGCUUCUAUCCACAUCCAGCCAGCACUGGACUUGGCUAUUACUGUCCAACAGACUUACUGAUGCAUUGGAUAUCUGCUUCAAGGUUUCAAAAUGCCUGGAUACACCAACAGGUACCAAAGAAUUAAAGGGCUUUGUAGCCCAUGGUUGUGUUGUCCAUUUUUGUUGGGAAUGACACGAGAAAUACACUGAGCAGCACACUGUAUUAAACUGCAAAGAAAGCUAAAAUUACUUUAGAAAAGCCUCAUUUCGUGAUCAAGGCCUCAAUGUUUUGCAUCAUUCUCUCACAUGCUUUCUGGUUCAGGUUCCUUCCACCACUUAGUCUGGCACGCAAACACAUUAAAACCCUCUUUUGAUAGGAGGAGUCCAAGAAGGACACUGUGCUUAAGACUUCAUGGGCUGUCUUUUUAAUAUAUAUUAGCAAGAUGACGGAUACCCUGAGUGGACCAGUCAGGGAAAGCAAACGAAGACAAGAAAUAUUCUCAGGGUGUUAUUGAUUAUCUGUUUUUCAGAGCAGAGGGAAUCGUUUUUAACUGGUUUAAACUAUGAUGGACUCAAGUGGAAAACGCAAGGAGAGUUAGCGAGGAGCAUAAUUGACUGGGCAUGGAACUCAGUAACCUCUCAGCACGCUGGAAGUGGUGGAGCAGAGGGGUUACGGCCAGGGCUGCUCCGCACCCACAGCCCUUUCUUCCCAAAGUGAACUCCGCCAGCAGCCAAAGACGGCAAUGACAACAAGCUGGCCCUGGCAGAUUGAAAGGCAACCUCAACCCCUUGAACAACAAGCACCACACCCCACUUGGCGAUAAGAGAUGAUUUGAGAAGAUAUUUGCUUACAUGUGUAUAAGCAAUUUGCUGUAUGAUGAAGCCCCGGUGUGCCUGUGUGAACGCACACGUAUGUGUGCAAAGGGGAAGGAACUGCAGAAGCGUAACAUUUCAUGAGAAAACAAACAAUUCAUUGCGGAUCCCAGGUAGCAGGCUUCAAUCAUCACAUCCCAUCGUACACACAGAACGUGAAACGUGGGCCACAAAGGCACCACGGGUGCUCCCCACAAAGAGAAACAACAGCUAAGCUCGGUCUGUCCCUGCAAAACAGCCUCGCUGUGUCCCUGCAGAGCGCUGUGAGAUGCAGCGGCAGAGGCACCCCAUAGGAGGAAUGGGGACAAAACACGACAGUUCACUGCAGAAACACGCUAGGGCCAGAUUCAUCUCUGCUGUCAUGGAGUCAAUUUGGAACAGCACUGUUGUCAUUGAAUUACUUGGGACUGCCUGCAAUUGGAAUCACAGAACCUUGUCUUCAAGUAGCAGGCUGCGUGCAUCAUGGAGACUUCCUUUUAACUAUCCAAUUUUUACAGCCUGUACAUAAGCAGGACUAUGUCUACAGCUAGGGUUUCUUGGUGUAAGCACAAUUAAAGCUGAUAGUAAUUACAAAAGUAUGUAUUACAUUUGUUUUUAACGCUAAACUUAAGAAUACGGCAGUAUUUGUUUUAUGUUUACUUGGCUGGUUGAGGUGGUGGUGGUAGAGCAGGGCUUCUCUCCACUCCGAGUCAGGGAUAGCAUCCCACCCUCCCACCUCACCAGGCACAGAACAAGCUGCUCCUGGACCAACUGUUCCAUUGCUACCUGUCAGGAGGAAAGCUGCAGGGAAUCGGACAUGAUGUCCGGGUAGCAGCAGCAUGAAGGAGAAAUGAAGGAGCAGGAUGGCAGAUCAACACAGAUUUCAUAUUUACUAUCCAGCCCAGUUAUUGUAGGCUGUGCCUACAGCUGUGCAUUUGAUUUAGUUUACAGGCACUGCUUCAGCCCUGGUAAGAGGUGGGAGUGUGCUUCACCGCGGCAUUUACACAGAUCACAACGUAAACAAAACUUGACCCAACACCUUUUAUGUUAUCUCAGAGAAAGAAUCAUAAACUGAGCAAAAUCCACACCAUUAACUCCAGUGCAGUCUUUGAUCAAAUCGGGAGCUAAAAGGAAAACAGAUUUCCUUAAAAACAAACUAACAAAGCAGUAUGUGCAUUUCAUUUUUAAUCCACUUUCUAGCAACCGCACCAUAGAAAGGCAGAGGCUCACAACAGCAAUGCAUCUGAACACGAAAUAUGGCCAUCCCAAGGCACACUAAUGGCAUCCACAGCGCUGGUAAGAGGGAGCACGGAUGUUUUUACAACUGUAGGAUGGGGAGAAUUACUGUUGAUUAUGGAGCAGCAAUGAAAUGCCACAGUUGUGAGUGAUAAACACAGCAAAUGCUACAGGGGGUCCUCCUGGAAAAGGAAAAAAGGGGAACGUCUCGUCAUGCAGAAAAAUAUCCCAGGAAAAAAGGAUGGAGGUGACGCCUGCGUGGCUGUUACCAACCACGGGCUUCAUUCUGCCCCCAGCUGCACACGUGCAACCCAUCACCAGGUAAGAUUUCUCAGUUUCUAUAGCGAAUGCAGGUGUACACCUAAGGGCAGAUUGUAACUUCCUCUCUCAAACAAAACACAGCGAAUGGAGACGGACUCCCAUUGCAGCAGAACACUGCACAGCCGCUUUGCCCUACAGGAAACACCAUAUGCAUGUCAGCCAGCAGAACCUUCUUACUUCUUCUCGUUAGUACUGUGCAUACGCAACCAGAUGCAAAUAUAUACACUUGCAUGCAUUGCUACUGCCACAUAACCCAGCCUGGGAUAUCCCAUUCCCAAACACCUGAGUACCUACACAGCUCUUCAUGGGUGCAAAGCCUCCAGGACUGCAGCAAUGAAACAGCGGAACAGAACUCACAUUGCCUGCGAGGCCCAUCUAUUCAUCUCUGCCCACAAGACUCCCUCGCACCACUGCAUGCUUUUUAUACUUCAUUAAAGCAAAUCACUGAUGUUCUUCAGCUGACAAACAUCCCCGGAAAGGAUGCAAAGAGCGGCAAGAAUUCGGCUUUGGCAAGCAGAUCUAUUUUCAUCUUACAUUUACAGUUGCUUGUGCAUAUCUAUAUAUCCAUCUGCAUCCCUAUCUUCAUAAAAACCUAACUGCAACAAAAUAAAUGAUAAUAAUUCUGCUGUUUCUGUUUCCGCUCUUCCCCAUCAGAAAGCUGGUAAUAAAACAAGCUCUCUAAAACAGGCAUUACCAACCCAGGCCAUGCAAACAAACACUUCACUGUUUUAUAAUCUCACAUGUCGAAUGAACAUCAUCGUUCCCUUUGGUGCCUUAAAAUAUCGGGUCCAUAAAAUUACUAAAAGGCAGAGCAGCAAUGCUGCCUAACACGCAGCCCACGGGAAGGCUGACAGUGCCCCAUCAGCUUCGCUUGUUGGCAGCUCUGAAUGUGCGUAGCAGUGUUGGUUGGGCAAAGCGCUCACAGAGCACUGUGUGAACACAGCCGGGCCGUGGGAGCAGCACACCACGAGGUGACCCCGAGCCCUGGGGAUGCGGAUGGUGCAGUGUCCCUUUGGCCUUCUGCAGGCGGAAGAUGCCAGCACUUAUCCUAGCUGUGCAGCACAGAGGGCUAAAGGAAAUACCGUGGGACACCAGAUAUGGGCAUUAGAGUGCAAUCCCUUACAGAGCGUGGUCAGUCCACUGCUGUAGUUGGUUUUAAAUAGCACUGUGCACUGCGUGAUGGAUGUUGACAAAACAAAACAACCCCAUAAUUACAAACAAACAAAAAAAAGACCCAAACCCUGAACCGACGUCACUGGUGAAAGACGCAGAAAUGAAAACACAGCACAGAGCAGCUGAGGGCAGGGGCGCCCUGUCCUGCGGGAGCAGCAGCGGAGCGGAGCAGCACCACAACCGCCCGGCAGCGCUCAGCCCGAACCGAGCGCGCAGCGCUGCGACCCGCGCGGUGCUCCCGGCCCCGGGUUGGGCUCCCGGGCGCGAGGCCGUGCGGGGCUGCCCGAGAACCGCGGUGCCCCUCAGACAAAGGGCUUCUCACAAGGGUUUACCUUGGGCUUGCCAGGAUUCCUUUGCAAACGUGUUUACGUGGGGCCGUUACGUAUUUACUUUUACG
Molecule: long non-coding RNA, 4256 nt
Filed under: Gallus gallus (chicken)
Lineage: Eukaryota; Metazoa; Chordata; Aves; Galliformes; Phasianidae
Description: long non-coding RNA NONGGAT003568
Source: RNAcentral